Molecule: long non-coding RNA, 4527 nt
Filed under: Jatropha curcas
Lineage: Eukaryota; Viridiplantae; Streptophyta; Magnoliopsida; Malpighiales; Euphorbiaceae
Description: long non-coding RNA (JCUR_LNC002949)
Source: RNAcentral
CAACCCAGAGUUGAACCAAAUCAUCAAUUUGGACCAAACCAAGCCUUAUUGCCCAAUCACAGGAAGAGAGAGAAAAAAAAUCUCAACUCCUUCCCCUCUCUCGACGCCGACAGCUCUCCCUCUCCCUUUCUUUCGGUCUCCGGCCACCUGCCACCAUUUUCGACAAAUGAACGCUCUAAAUGCACCUAUUCGAUGCAAGAAUCAAGAAUAUGGCCUCAAAUAGUGCUGUUAUUGCGCCGUUGGAGAGAAAUCGCAAUCUAAAGGGGCUGUUACUGUCGCAGCACAAUUUUCCGGCGAUUCUCGCCGUUCUCGAGGAGCUGGGGUGACAAGGUUAGCUCGAAUCGACUCCUUGCGACUGGGCGAGCAUUUCCCUCAGUCGAUUCAUGGGUUUAUCAGGAAAUGAGGAGACCACCGUGAACGGCGGUGAGGUUAGCUACUGUCGGCCUGAUUCCGGCCAAAUGGCUCAUCGGCUCGCUGAAUUGAUGUCGAAAUCGAACUCACCAUCAAAUUCCAAGCAGAGCAGUGGAAGCCUCGUGAAGUUCCCGUGAGACACGAUUUUCCGUCUACCGUGAACGGCAGCCCGCGAUGGAGAUCCGGUUAGACUCCGGCAGGGACUUAGAGGCAGAAUCGUCUACCCUAGAAGCUGAUCUCAAAUCCGCGAUCCAAUUUCAAAUUUGUGAGUUCUAGGCCUCACACUAACUUCUUUUGUAAAAUUUGAUUAAAGUUUAUUAAUUUAAUUAGAUCAAUUUAGUUUAGUUAAGUGGAUUGAUUUUGAAUGAGCUUAAGUAAAUACCAAUUUAGUUAAUUGAGUUAAUGGUUGAUAUAAAAGGUCAUGAAAUUAUACUCAGAUUUGAUAUCUAUAGUUACCAUUAUGAAUUGCACAAAUAAUGUUUCUAAAGUUUAAAUAUUAUUAUUGAAUAAUAAUUAAACUGCGAUUUGAUAUAAGAUAUGUGUGAUUUGAUAGUAAUCCUAGUUAAUGAUUAACAAUAGACUUGUGAAUGAUCGGGAUGCUAUUUAAACUGUGUAAUUGGAUUGAACGGUGAGUUAUAUAAUCAAAUUGAUGAUGUGAAAUGAUAGGUUCUGGGUUGUGUUGAUAAUGGAAGAAGGAAAGGCUUAAUUGAUUGAUUUACCUUAUAGAUGAGCUGUGAUUGUGUGCUAAAUUUCCUUGAAUUGGAAACAGGUAAAUUGUUCUAAUUAUAAGGGAGAUGUUGCCGGAUUUUCAGCUACGUAUCUUUAGAUAAUUAGAUUAAUUGUAUUAUUAUUUUUAAUCCGAAAUUGGGCUAAGGAUGUGAAGUAAUGUUAUUGACUUAGAAUAAAUGAAUGAACUAGAGAAGUAUAACUCGAUAUAAACUAGUUGAUUUAAAUAAAUGAUUAUAAAAAUCUUAUGUUAGGAUUUCUUAUUAGAGUUUCUUUUCUAGAUGCAUUAGUCACAAGGAUUUGCACGAUGAAAGCUGAUAAAGGAUUGGGAAUGAGAUUAGCUAUGCUUUUAGCAUACAGAAUGGUGAGUAGUGUUAGAUAACUUUUAUUGCGCAUUGCAUAUGCAUGCAAACAUACACGGAUAAAUAUUAUUCAUACGUACAUAAUACAGAAAUGUCAUCUAGGUAUAAUACAAUAUUUGAGGAAUUGUUAUUUGUGUUGCAUUACUUGUUUGGAUAUUGCUUGAUUAGUUGUGAUGCGUUACAUGUAUGCCUUGCUUGUGUGAAAUUGGAAUGAAGUGUGUAAGGGGAUCGGCUCCCUAACGCACACGUGAUGAUAGGGCGGGCCAUGUGUGAGGACGACUCGUCGAAGGUUUUCGUGACGUCAUUGACCAAUUUCCACUUGACGUAAUUUUGUGAAGUGCUAAUAUUUGUGAUUGCUGUUGUUAUGUCAUCUGAGUGAUUGACUGCGUGAUCAUAUAACUAGUCGGAGGACUAAGAUGAUUUAUAUAUGCACUUGUGCGACUGUGUGGGGUGAGAGGGUUCUCUAAACUCUAUUCAGUGAGUUUAGGCACUCACCCUUGAAUUAAUAUUUAUUUUUCCAGGUUACAGGUCUUCUAAUAUCUCGUCAUCCUCUAUCGUCAGAUGUCUAGAAGAUACCCCAAUAAAUAUUUUGAAAAUUUAAAUUCUUAGAUUGUUCCGCAAUUACGAUAGUUCUGUAUAAUUAAUUUAGAAAAUUAUUGAUGUAUUACUUAUAAAAGUUCCUAUUAUAUAAAUAUUAAUAUGGGCCUAAAAAACUUUGGAAAUUAAUUUACUAUUGAAUAUGAUGAUACGGGUCAAACGAGUGUUAAGACUUAUGAUAUUUGACUGUUGAUAAUAUUGGCCUAAGACCAUUUUCGUUGAACAGAAAAUUUAUUCUGGAUAUUUUUUUCUUUGGCUUACUACUGGUUUCAGUGGCUUUAAGCCUAUUCAGGUCCUAGUGUCGAUCUGGCUCAAGGUAACAGAGGUCAUGACAAAAAGAUUCAAAAAGUUAUUUUUGUCGUUUAAAUCAAUAAACUAGUUGUUACCAUAAAAAUGUAUAUUUUUUAUCAAAAUCAUCUUUAAGCAAAAAGAUCUAAUAUCACAUUUUUUAAUUUUAGUUUUAUACUUUUAUUAUUCAAAGAAUAUAAAUAAUUUUUUUAUUUGUUAAAACAUCAAUGAACCCUAUUAACUACGAUUAAUAAAAUUUGAUAUUAUUAUCAAUGAAUUAUAUAUAUAUAUAUAUAUAUAUAUAUAUAUAUUUUUUUUUUUUAAUAAAAGAUGAAAACCACACUUUUAAAAGAUUAUCAGGUAUUAAUGUUAUAUUUAUUGAUUUCUUUGCGAGGGUUUAUCACCAAAUAAAAGUAACGACGACUCCGUUUGUUUCCGUAAAAUAAUUUAUAGAAAAAUAUUUUUUAUAAUUUUUUGUUGUUUGGGGCGUUCGGAAAAAAUAUUUUCUUAGUUAAAGAAAAAUUAAAUCAUUUUUUAAAGAAAAUAACUUCUCAUUAUUUUCAAGAGGGUAAAAUAUUUUCCAGACAUUGAUAAAUCUUAUAAAUCUAUAUUUUUUUAAUUUAUUAAUCAUCGUAGUCACUGUCACCAGUCACCAUUUACCACCGAUCACUACCACUGGCUACCGGAGACUUUUAUAAUUUGUAUAUAUAUUUUUUUGCAUUCUUCUCAUAGUUAAUAAUAUAAUUUUUAAAUUAUAAAAUUUCUAUUAUUAUUAAUAUUUUUUAUAGUCUAUAAGAUAAAGACUUUAAUAUUUUUAACUAAUUUUCAAUAUUAUAACCAAACAAUGGAAAAUAAUUCAUUUAAAAAAUAUUUUUUAUAAAAUAUUUUUCAGUAAGCUAUUUUAUAGAAACAAACGGAGCAGACAUUUGAUUUUAUUUAUUUGGAGAAUUUAUAUUUUGAUUUCAGUGUGGCUUAUUUCUUCAUUUAUGUUAUCGAUGUAUAGUGGCAUCCAUAUUCGUCAUAUGCUAUAAAUUAUUUGAAAACGAUUCAAGUACAAAAGUGAAAUGACCCGAUAUAUUAUUUUCAAAACCUUUUAAAUUAAAAUUAAAUCAAAAUGCCAAAUAAUCUAGAUUUUAGCCAAUGAGAUAUUUUUCCGUCAAUAUUUUUAAUUUCAUUGGUUAAGGAAUAAUUGAGUAAGGUUGAACUAUAAGAAAAUCGGAUUAAAUCAUUUAUAAACCAAUUGAAAGUUCAACUGAACUAGACCAACCCAGAGUUGAACCAAAUCAUCAAUUUGGACCAAACCAAGCCUUAUUGCCCAAUCACAGGAAGAGAGAGAAAAAAAAUCUCAACUCCUUCCCCUCUCUCGACGCCGACAGCUCUCCCUCUCCCUUUCUUUCGGUCUCCGGCCACCUGCCACCAUUUUCGACAAAUGAACGCUCUAAAUGCACCUAUUCGAUGCAAGAAUCAAGAAUAUGGCCUCAAAUAGUGCUGUUAUUGCGCCGUUGGAGAGAAAUCGCAAUCUAAAGGGGCUGUUACUGUCGCAGCACAAUUUUCCGGCGAUUCUCGCCGUUCUCGAGGAGCUGGGGUGACAAGGUUAGCUCGAAUCGACUCCUUGCGACUGGGCGAGCAUUUCCCUCAGUCGAUUCAUGGGUUUAUCAGGAAAUGAGGAGACCACCGUGAACGGCGGUGAGGUUAGCUACUGUCGGCCUGAUUCCGGCCAAAUGGCUCAUCGGCUCGCUGAAUUGAUGUCGAAAUCGAACUCACCAUCAAAUUCCAAGCAGAGCAGUGGAAGCCUCGUGAAGUUCCCGUGAGACACGAUUUUCCGUCUACCGUGAACGGCAGCCCGCGAUGGAGAUCCGGUUAGACUCCGGCAGGGACUUAGAGGCAGAAUCGUCUACCCUAGAAGCUGAUCUCAAAUCCGCGAUCCAAUUUCAAAUUUGUGAGUUCUAGGCCUCACACUAACUUCUUUUGUAAAAUUUGAUUAAAGUUUAUUAAUUUAAUUAGAUCAAUUUAGUUUAGUUAAGUGGAUUGAUUUUGAAUGAGCUUAAGUAAAUACCAAUUUAGUUAAUUGAGUUAAUGGUUGAUAUAAAAGGUCAUGAAAUUAUACUCAGAUUUGAUAUCUAUAGUUACCAUUAUGAAUUGC